This 467-nucleotide ribosomal RNA is filed under the name uncultured bacterium. RNAcentral describes it as "bacterial SSU rRNA". It matches the Rfam family "Bacterial small subunit ribosomal RNA", at positions 26 to 518 of the family's 1533-position model. The record is from RNAcentral.
AGGACGAACGCUGGCGGCGUGCUUAACACAUGCAAGUCGAACGGAAGUAGAAAUACUUAGUGGCGGACGGGUGAGUAACGCGUGAGCAACCUGCCCUUAUCAGGGGGAUAACACAGAGAAAUUUGUGCUAAUACCGCAUAACGUUGCGAAUAGGCAUCUAAUUGCAACCAAAGAUUUAUCGGAUAAGGAUGGGCUCGCGUCCCAUUAGGUAGUUGGUGAGGUAACGGCCCACCAAGCCGACGAUGGGUAGCCGAUCUGAGAGGAUGAACGGCCACAUUGGAACUGAGAGACGGUCCAGACUCCUACGGGAGGCAGCAGUGGGGAAUAUUGGGCAAUGGGCGCAAGCCUGACCCAGCAACGCCGCGUGAAUGAAGAAGGUUUUCGGAUUGUAAAGUUCUGUGAUGGGGGACGAAGAAAGUGACGGUACCCCAAUAGCAAGCUACGGCUAACUACGUGCCAGCCGCGGC